GAAUGGCUUAUUCAACCCAAUUUGUUGCAGAUGCUUAGGCUGCAUGCCUAUGAAUCUAUCCAACUGUCUACACACUUGCAUAGAAGCGAAGGCAGAACAGGCAGAAUGCUAUAAAUAAAUAAAUAAAAGCUACGUUUCCAGCCUAGUAGGCCCAAAUGAUUGCUUGCACAAAAAGAAGCUUCAAGUGUGAGUGUGAAACAGUCUGAUUAUUGUAGGGCAAAUCUGAGUUGUUAAUAUGAAAAAUAUGAGGAAGGAUUUGUAUAGACCUCCGGGCAUUGUGGCUAUGAUGUCACUGUUUGAUGAUCCAGACCAUGAUUUUUAACAAAAAGAAAAAAGAAAAAAGAAAAAAAAAAAAGGUGGAUAGUUGUAAGGGACAGUUUUAACAUCAACUUGAUUUUUUUAUCAAAUAAUACAAACACUGUUGUUUCAAAAUAUCAGAUGUGAAAGCCAAUACAUAUUAUAUUCAACCAUUAUUGCAGUGUUCAAGUUUUUUUU
RNAcentral lists this long non-coding RNA (495 nucleotides) under Physcomitrium patens. RNAcentral's name for it is "long non-coding RNA (PPAT_LNC006249)". Lineage: Eukaryota; Viridiplantae; Streptophyta; Bryopsida; Funariales; Funariaceae. The record is from RNAcentral.